AUCUACAGCCAUACCAUCCUGAAUGUGCCUGAUCUCAUCUGAUCUUAAGCUAAGCAGGGUCGGGCCUGGUUAGUACUUGGAUGGGAGAACAUAUGAUGUCAUACAAA
Molecule: ribosomal RNA, 107 nt
Filed under: Chinchilla lanigera (long-tailed chinchilla)
Lineage: Eukaryota; Metazoa; Chordata; Mammalia; Rodentia; Chinchillidae
Source: RNAcentral